RNAcentral lists this ribosomal RNA (253 nucleotides) under uncultured bacterium. RNAcentral describes it as "partial 16S ribosomal RNA". It matches the Rfam family "Bacterial small subunit ribosomal RNA", at positions 524 to 776 of the family's 1533-position model. The record is from RNAcentral.
UACGAGGGGGGCGAGCGUUGUUCGGAAUUAUUGGGCGUAAAGGGCGCGUAGGCGGUGCGGUAAGUCACCUGUGAAACCUCUAGGCUUAACCUAGAGCCUGCAGGCGAAACUGCCGUGCUGGAGUGUGGGAGAGGUGCGUGGAAUUCCCGGUGUAGCAGUGAAGUGCGUAGAUAUCGUGAGGAAGACCAGUGGCGAAGGCGGAUCUCUGGACAGCUCCUGACGCUGAGGCGCGAAGGCUAGGGGAGCAAACGGG